CCUACGUGAGGCAGCAGUGAGGAAUAUUGGUCAAUGGGCGGAAGCCUGAACCAGCCAAGUAGCGUGCGGGAUGAAGGCCCUACGGGUCGUAAACCGCUUUUGCACGGGGAUAACACCCUCCACUUGUUGAGGUCUGCAGGUACCGUGCGAAUAAGGGCCGGCUAAUACCGUGCCAGCAACCGCGGUAAUACGGAAGGCCCGAGCGUUAUCCGGAUUCAUUGGGCUUAAGGGGCGCGUAGGCGGGCGUUCAAGUCAGCUGUAAAAUCGCGCGGCUCAACCGCGCCCCGCAGUUGAAAUUGGACGCCUUGAGUUCACAACAGGCAGGCGGAAUUCGUGGUGUAGCGGUGAAAUGCAUAGAUAUCACGAGGAACCCCGAUUGCGAAGGCAGCCUGCCGGGGUGCGACUGACGCUGAGGCUCGAAGGUGCGGGUAUCAAACAGGAUUAGAUACCCCUGUAGUC
This 459-nucleotide ribosomal RNA is filed under the name uncultured bacterium. Its description in RNAcentral is "partial 16S ribosomal RNA". It matches the Rfam family "Bacterial small subunit ribosomal RNA", at positions 338 to 795 of the family's 1533-position model. The record is from RNAcentral.